GGCUUCGUAGCUCAGCUGGUAGAGCACGCGCAUACAAAGCAAAGGUGGUGUCCAUGCGUGGGUUCGAAUCCCACCGAGGCUA
This 82-nucleotide transfer RNA is filed under the name Echinostoma caproni. It matches the Rfam family "tRNA". From Rfam's summary of the family: Transfer RNA (tRNA) molecules are approximately 80 nucleotides in length. Lineage: Eukaryota; Metazoa; Platyhelminthes; Trematoda; Plagiorchiida; Echinostomatidae. The record is from Rfam by way of RNAcentral.